GCGAGGCCGAAAGGCGUAGUCGAUGGGAAACAGGUUAAUAUUCCUGUACUUGGUGUUACUGCGAAGGGGGGACGGAGAAGGCUAUGUUGGCCGGGCGACGGUUGUCCCGGUUUAAGCGUGUAGGCUGGUUUUCCAGGCAAAUCCGGAAAAUCAAGGCUGAGGCGUGAUGACGAGGCACUACGGUGCUGAAGCAACAAAUGCCCUGCUUCCAGGAAAAGCCUCUAAGCAUCAGGUAACAUCAAAUCGUACCCCAAACCGACACAGGUGGUCAGGUAGAGAAUACCAAGGCGCUUGAGAGAACUCGGGUGAAGGAACUAGGCAAAAUGGUGCCGUAACUUCGGGAGAA
This 346-nucleotide ribosomal RNA is filed under the name Escherichia coli. RNAcentral describes it as "partial 23S ribosomal RNA". It matches the Rfam family "Bacterial large subunit ribosomal RNA", at positions 1396 to 1744 of the family's 2925-position model. The record is from RNAcentral. Lineage: Bacteria; Pseudomonadati; Pseudomonadota; Gammaproteobacteria; Enterobacterales; Enterobacteriaceae.